GAGUGCGAUCAUACCAGUACUAAUGCAUCAGAUCGAAUCAGAACUCCGCAGUUAAGCGUGCUUGGAGGCCGAGAGUAGUACUAGGAUGGAUGACUAUCUAGGAAGUCCUCGUGUUGCACCUC
Molecule: ribosomal RNA, 122 nt
Filed under: Beta vulgaris subsp. vulgaris (sugar beet)
Lineage: Eukaryota; Viridiplantae; Streptophyta; Magnoliopsida; Caryophyllales; Amaranthaceae
Source: RNAcentral